RNAcentral lists this ribosomal RNA (254 nucleotides) under uncultured bacterium. Its description in RNAcentral is "partial 16S ribosomal RNA". It matches the Rfam family "Bacterial small subunit ribosomal RNA", at positions 524 to 776 of the family's 1533-position model. The record is from RNAcentral.
UACGGAGAACUCAAGCGUUACCCGGAAUCACUGGGCGUAAAGCGUUGCGUAGGCGGUUUGUUAAGUGAGAUAUGAAAUCCCAUGGCUCAACCAUGGAACUGUAUCUCAAACUAGCAAGCUAGAGGAUGGCAGAGGCGAGUGGAAUUGCUGGUGUAGGAGUGAAAUCCGUAGAUAUCAGCAGGAACACCGAUGGCGAAGGCAGCUCGCUGGGCCACUCCUGACGCUGAGGCACGAAAGCGUGGGUAGCGAACCGG